GACGGGGCUCUCCCGGCGGCCGGCGGGGCACGCUAGUGUUGGGGUCCCGCCGCCGUGAGGAUCGAGCUCGUGCGGGUCGGUCAGUCGUCGGGGCCUGCGCUGGGCCCGGGCCCAUGGCGGCGUCGGCGGCUCUGUCUGCGGCAGCGGCGGCGGCGGCUCUGUCUGGCCUGGCGGUGCGUCUGUCACGCUCAGCGGCCGCCCGAGGCUCGUACAGCGCCUUCUGCAAGGGGCUUACGCGCACGCUGCUCACCUUCUUCGACCUGGCCUGGCGGCUGCGCAUGAACUUCCCCUACUUCUACAUCGUGGCCUCAGUGAUGCUCAACGUCCGCCUGCAAGUGCGUAUCGAGUGAGCACCGGCGGCGGUGGCGGAGGCCCGGCUGAAGGGGCGCCCGUGUCCCCGCCCGCCCCCGGCCGCCGGGUCGCCGGCAUGAAGGACAGCUGGAUCGCGGCGGGGGGCGGAGGCGGGGCGGCCCAGGCCCCUGGACUCUAGACCUCCGCCGCCCAAGCACGAAGGCCCAGCCCUGGCCCGGCCGCGGUCUCAGCCCGGAGACCCCGGAUCGCGCAGAAACGCACUGAACAGGCCCCUACCAUCGGGCUCCAGAAACUACCUAGACUCGGCCUACCUGUUGCCUCACAUUGGCCAAAGAGGGGGAAACCAGAAGGAGGGAAUUGCUGCGGCGACUUGACUUUCCAGGCCCCGAGCAGAAAGGCAUUGGCGUUUGUUGGCGGUGACCUGCCCCUUCUUUGGCCUUGCCAAGAGUCUCAUCCCUGCCCUGGGGCACCUCUGGCCCUGGACCUGCUUGGGCAGAGGCAGCAUGAAGGACCUGAACAACAGAAGAAGGGCCUUCCUAGUAGAGGCACAGCAUGGACAAAGGCUCACGGGUGGGGGUGCCCAGGGAUCGAGUCCUGGCUUGGGAAGGAAGGUCUGAGUUCCCUGGGAACUGAAAUCUGCUGGCAGCACUGUGAGAGGUGUAUUUCCCCCUUCUAAUGACAGAGGAAACUGAGGCUUCGGGGGGGUGGGGGGUUGCCCUUGAUACACAGAUAGGAGGAGGAGGAACUGCGUGUGCCCCUGGGCCUGCAGGCCCCCACACCCCUCCCCAGUCUUCUCCAAGACCUGGCAUGGUGGGAGGAGGGAAGGGGAAGUGGAGAGGGAAGCAUAGGGCUCCUGGGGCACCAAGGGAGAAAGGGGCCUAGGGGUAGGGAAUCUGGCGAUCUCACUUUCUUUGGAGCAGUACGGAAGGUCACAGGGAAGAUCAGGAGGACAGACAGCUGAGAUGGGAGACAGAAGAGAUGGGCCCCAGGACCCUUGGGGCGCCAAGCUCUCCCCCACAGCCUAACCUCCCCACCCCACCUGGAGCUUCACCAAGGCUCCUUAGCAGUGCAGUGGCACAAGCCUCCCAG
RNAcentral lists this long non-coding RNA (1401 nucleotides) under Theropithecus gelada (gelada). RNAcentral describes it as "lncRNA (ENSTGEG00000001944.1)". Lineage: Eukaryota; Metazoa; Chordata; Mammalia; Primates; Cercopithecidae. The record is from RNAcentral.